ACCCGCUGAACUUAAGCAUAUCAAUAAGCGGAGGAAAAGAAACCAACAGGGAUUGCCUCAGUAACGGCGAGUGAAGCGGCAACAGCUCAAAUUUGAAAUCUGGCUCCUUCGGGGCCCGAGUUGUAAUUUGUAGAGGAUGUUUCGGGUGCGGCGCCGGUCGAAGUCCCUUGGAACAGGGUGUCACAGAGGGUGAGAAUCCCGUACGUGGCCGGUGACCAAGCCCAUGUGAAACUCCUUCGACGAGUCGAGUUGUUUGGGAAUGCAGCUCAAAAUGGGUGGUAAAUUUCAUCUAAAGCUAAAUACCGGCCAGAGACCGAUAGCGCACAAGUAGAGUGAUCGAAAGAUGAAAAGCACUUUGGAAAGAGAGUUAAAAAGUACGUGAAAUUGUUGAAAGGGAAGCGCUUGCGACCAGACCUGCCCGUGGGUGCUCAGCGGGGGUUUGCCCCCGUGCACUCGCCCACGAUCAGGCCAGCAUCAGUUCCGGCGACCGGAUAAAGGCCCGAGGAAUGUAGCUCCCCUCGGGGAGUGUUAUAGCCUCGGGUGGCAUACGGCCAGCUGGGACUGAGGACCGCGCUUCGGCAAGGAUGCUGGCGUAAUGGUUGCAAGCGACCCGUCUUGAAACACGGACCAAGGAGUCUAACAUCUAUGCGAGUGUUUGGGUGUCAAACCCAUGCGCGCAAUGAAAGUGAACGGAGGUCAGAGCCCUUUAGGGUGCAUGAUCGACCGAUCCUGAAGUUUACGGAUGGAUUUGAGUAUGAGCAUAGCUGUUGGGACCCGAAAGAUGGUGAACUAUGCCUGAAUAGGGUGAAGCCAGAGGAAACUCUGGUGGAGGCUCGCAGCGGUUCUGACGUGCAAAUCGAUCGUCAAAUUUGGGUAUAGGGGCGAAAGACUAAUCGAACCAUCUAGUAGCUGGUUCCUGCCGAAGUUUCCCUCAGGAUAGCAGUAACGAAUUCAGUUUUAUGAGGUAAAGCGAAUGAUUAGGAGCCUAGGGGAUGUAACAUCCUUUACUCAUUCUCAAACUUUAAAUAUGUAAGAAGUCCUUGUUGCUUAAUUGAACGUGGACAUUUGAAUGUACCGUUACUAGUGGGCCAUUUUUGGUAAGCAGAACUGGCGAUGCGGGAUGAACCGAACGUGGGGUUAAGGUGCCGGAAUGCACGCUCAUCAGACACCACAAAAGGUGUUGAUUCAUCUAGACAGCCGGACGGUGGCCAUGGAAGUCGGAAUCCGCUAAGGAGUGUGUAACAACUCACCGGCCGAAUGAAUCAGCCCUGAAAAUGGAUGGCGCUCGAGCGUGCUACCUAUACCCCGCCGCCAGGGUAGAAACGAUGCCCUGGCGAGUAGGCAGGCGUGGGGGUCGGUGACGAAGCC
This 1368-nucleotide ribosomal RNA is filed under the name Bacidia schweinitzii. RNAcentral's name for it is "eukaryotic LSU rRNA". It matches the Rfam family "Eukaryotic large subunit ribosomal RNA", at positions 23 to 1410 of the family's 3401-position model. The record is from RNAcentral. Lineage: Eukaryota; Fungi; Ascomycota; Lecanoromycetes; Lecanorales; Ramalinaceae.